Molecule: ribosomal RNA, 763 nt
Filed under: uncultured Streptococcus sp.
Lineage: Bacteria; Bacillati; Bacillota; Bacilli; Lactobacillales; Streptococcaceae
Description: bacterial SSU rRNA
Rfam family: Bacterial small subunit ribosomal RNA
Source: RNAcentral
GACGAACGCUGGCGGCGUGCCUAAUACAUGCAAGUAGAACGCUGAAGGAGGAGCUUGCUCUUCUGGAUGAGUUGCGAGCGGGUGAGUAACGCGUAGGUAACCUGCCUGGUAGCGGGGGAUAACUAUUGGAAACGAUAGCUAAUACCGCAUAAGAGUAGAUGUUGCAUGACAUUUACUUGAAAGGUGCAAUUGCAUCACUACCAGAUGGACCUGCGUUGUAUUAGCUAGUUGGUGGGGUAACGGCUCACCAAGGCGACGAUACAUAGCCGACCUGAGAGGGUGAUCGGCCACACUGGGACUGAGACACGGCCCAGACUCCUACGGGAGGCAGCAGUAGGGAAUCUUCGGCAAUGGACGGAAGUCUGACCGAGCAACGCCGCGUGAGUGAAGAAGGUUUUCGGAUCGUAAAGCUCUGUUGUAAGAGAAGAACGAGUGUGAGAGUGGAAAGUUCACACUGUGACGGUAUCUUACCAGAAAGGGACGGCUAACUACGUGCCAGCAGCCGCGGUAAUACGUAGGUCCCGAGCGUUGUCCGGAUUUAUUGGGCGUAAAGCGAGCGCAGGCGGUUAGAUAAGUCUGAAGUUAAAGGCUGUGGCUUAACCAUAGUACGCUUUGGAAACUGUUUAACUUGAGUGCAAGAGGGGAGAGUGGAAUUCCAUGUGUAGCGGUGAAAUGCGUAGAUAUAUGGAGGAACACCGGUGGCGAAAGCGGCUCUCUGGCUUGUAACUGACGCUGAGGCUCGAAAGCGUGGGGAGCAAACAGG